UGGCCAAAUAUCUUUACGCACAGUGUAUCCUCCUCAAGUACCAUCUUCCUUGGAAAGGUUGAUGUUGUUUUUAAGAUCAUCAUUUACAGAAAGCUUACAAAAUGGAGCCCAUUUGUAAGUUCCGUCAUUUUUUCAGUUUGAGGAUAAUUUAGUGGCGAGUUAGGCUUAAUUCUGAUAACACGGGAUGUAUGUAAAGUGUACCCAGAGUUUUCAUUUUUUACAUAAUUUAAUUACUUGCUUAGCUGAAUGUUUCGUCUUUGAGUUAAAUCGUGCAAGUGGAGAUGGAUAUCCCUAAAAAAUAUUUUCCUGUCUUUGGCUAACGGGUAGGCAGACUUUUCCAUGUUAAUAUUUACAUAUGUAUUUGUGCAAUUUUUCGAAUGACGCAUGGAUACACCAAUUUAUUUACUAUGAAAUUUAACGAUUUUUUGCAUUGAUUUUUUACAAUUUUAUAGACACCGAAUUUAAAACCUUGAGAAGGAUGGUACCGUACCGUACACCAACCUGAAAACCUAUUAAAGGUCCUUACGGAAAAAUGUCGUCCCUUUAUUGGAUUCAUGUUAUCAUUCGAAUUCAACCCAACCCCUCGUAUUUUCACCACCAUCUUGGACAAUUUGAGCCAAACUUGUCUUAUCCAUGCACACACAAGGCUAUCGAAUGAGAUAAUGAAAAAAUAGAUGCAUCGAAAGCGGGGAUCUUGUGCAGGUUAAUCAGAUACCUAAGCUACCUAUGUAUUUAUUUAUUUAUAAUGCAUAAUUCUUCGCUUUACAGCAGCUACAUAUAUACGAUUUUAGGGUUAUAUAUUUUAAGGUUUAUUGAGUAUAAAUUUAUCUACAUACAUAAAUAUUGUAAUGUAGUAAACCGUAUCCUGUAGACGGUUGACUGUUUAAAGUAAUGUUACCAUUUUGAAAAUUAAAUGCACUCAGAAUUCUUAAUUCAGAAUACUAAAUCUAGAGUAACGUUAGAUCUUUAAAAAUCUUAAGGGUAAAGUUUACCCUGGAUAGAGUUUACCUUAUUUAUACUUCAAAGUGCAUUUACUUUUCAACAAGGUAACAUUAUUUUUUAGAGUGUGGUGAAAAAUAUUUAUAUGCGUGAGCGAUAUUUCUCAUCAAAAUUUCGUUUAACAUACAUCCAAUGGUAAUGGAUACUUAUGAAUUAUUAUGAAUAGUUAAGAUUAGGACUAUUUAUGAUACAUACAUACAAGAUCCUUUAUUGGGUGUUGAUUUAAUUCGACCCCAAUUUCUCCUGUCAAUAUUUGUAAACUUGUACCUCAAAUACGGGAAAAGUUCUACGCUAAUUAUUUUAUUAGGGAGACAUUAUUGAUUGUUUAGUCUCUCGGCAGAUUAUAUUAAUCAUGCCCUUAACUUUAGUUUAAAAAACCCCGGAAUAAUAAUAUUAUUCAAGCGAAUAUGAUUCAAAUGUGCUGUCCUAUCGGAAAUCGGUCAGUUUUGCGAAAAAUAUUCGUCAUAAAAGAAUUCUGCUUGGCGAAAAACAGAUAAUUAAUCAAAUGUUGCAGUGAACUAUGAAUAUAGAUAGACUUAAAAAAGAACAAAUACUAAUGUUUGUGUCAUCCUAAUUUGCUUUGUGACAGUAAGGAAGAGUUUAGGUACAUCAAAACAUAUAUAACUGUAUUCAUUCGUUCUUGCUUCAUAGAAAAUAUUUUCACUCCGAACUUGGAUGUCAUGCAGGCCUCCAAAGUGUAUAACACUAUUUAAUAUAGACAUCCAGACAAUUACAAGACUGGUUGGUGCCAUGCGUAUUUAUAACGACAGCAACCAGAAGUGUGAUAGAUGCAAUUUUCAAGGGAAAAAUAACGUCCAACUCAGACGAUAAAUAUGUAAGUCACUUGAUCUCGCUUUUGGGACUCAGUAAGCUCGUCAAAAGUUACUCUGGAGCACAUAUAUCGACUAGAUGGUGGGUGGCGCCUCUUGAGUAGACUAAUUGGAUUUGGUUAUCUAGAAGAAGAACGGCGAGCUAAUGAGCUCGACGUAAAUUUUUGGGCUGUUUUCGUCGAAAGAAGAAGCAGACGUAAGUGCUGUUCGUUAUACAUGUAAACCGCUUCAUAAAUAUAUAAAUACUAGCGAAACUUUUCGAGGCUCCGAAGGUCAUUCCGUAGGUCAUUAAAUUGGGCUUUACACUCGUCCGUAAAGUUGAAAGGAACGCCAGUUUCCAAAAGUGGGAAUAAUCUAUUUGCUCUCAUUACAAGUGACGGUAUGAAAAGACUCCAAUAAUUACGGCUUCCCAACAAACUACACAAUUCAGUUUUGCUUGUUGGAUAUUUCAUGGAUAGGAUUACUGAAACGUCCAUUCAAGUCCAUUCAUUAAUACGUGUCACUUUGACAAAGUUUUUUUUUAAAUCGAAUUAUCAAUAGUCAUAGUUUAUUUCCCCUGCAAAAUCUCUGGCCGCUCCAUCGUUGCCUGUAUCCGAUCUGUCGAUUCUUCCGUAUUUUUGACUUACUUACUUUCUCCUUUAUUGUAUGAAUGUGACUAAUUCUAAGCAGCUAUCAACUUAAACUUUUAAUUUGGAUUGCAUGAUUGCAAGGCACAUUUGCUCAUUAUGCUUUUUUGGCUUCUCAUCUUUCCACCACAAAAGAAAUAAAGUGGUUGACAUGAAUAUUUUUGUGUUCGUUGCGUUAUUAAUACUAACUUGGAGAUAAUCUGCGUAUGAAUCGAUUUAUUAGCAGGUUUUAUUAGGGCGACCGUUAUAAGUGGUUUCAGUGUGACCUUACAAUGGAAAUUUUUUUUCAAGACAGAAAAUUCGUAAAUUGCCCUUGGUUACGAAAACAGUAUCCAUGAAAUUCGACAGUUUAAGAAUUUUGUCAUUUGGGUUGCACCAGGUUGGUUAUUGGCGUUUUUAAUUUAAAAAAAUCCCAAAUCUUGUAACUAAUGGACCUUUAAGGGCUUUCCUCAUUGAAAAAUUUUCUAUUGUAGCGUGACUUUUAAACCACCCUGUUACCUGUAUAUGAUUACAGGUUCUUUUGAGGUUUAACACUUACAAUGAGGAGGUGUCAUGUAUGACCGCGUCAAUCAACUGAGAGAUGCGAUUUUGAAAAUUUAGGCGAAAUGGGUGAAGCAGACUCUCCAAUAGCUCGUAAGCCCCUUGAAUCUCCGAGUUAAUUAAUUUAUUUCAAAGCAUAAGGACCCUUGAAGUAAUUAAGGUCACUAGAAACAUCAAAUAUUGCCUAGAAAAAUAAACACAGAUUUUUAAUUUUAAAAUAUUGACGAUCGCCUAUCAUUUUGCACCACCUAUUUUUUAAGUUUUUCCAGCUAAGUAAUUUUCCCGAUGAAGCUGGUAUGUCAUACUUAUGUUAGAAGUAAGUAAUGCCAUUAUACAGAAUUGUGUAAAGUUUGAAGUCAUUCGGAAAACUGGUGUGGAAAUUAAGUGGAAAAUACCAUUUCGCCUAACAUUUUGCUCCUGACUGUAAAUAAGAGAUAGGAGCAACUAGUGUAGCGUUACCCCGUAAGACUGGAUUUUGUCCAUUACCGUGAUCCUACUUUUCUUGCCAUGUUCGCGUCGGAGAGGAUCUAAGACUUCUGCAAAGGUUACGGCGAGUUAAGUUCAGAGAUGUAAUCUACCAUAUUUGUUUAGUUAUUUAGAAUAUUUCCAUGAGUUGAAUGGGUGGGUACUUCCAAUCAACUGGGUUUAUCGAUAUCUGUGUAUUCACAAGUGUGUUUCGUGAGCUAAGCGUUGGGGGAACUUAUUUCGGAAAUAUGUCGGGAAUAUUCAAGAAGUGAUGAAUGGAAACUUUGUGUAAAUUUAGACACAGACGUACAGUUUUAUUAGCAAGGAUUGUAUGGUGACUCAACUGACUUAAUCAAAGUAUGUUCGAAAAAAUGUUGAAUAUAAAUUUAGGCAUUAAAACAAAGUUUGUAGAAAGAGAGAGAAAGAUCAGCAAACAGGGUAAUAAACACGCCUUUUAACUACAAAGUUGCAGAAUCUGCAUCUUGCUCUUUUUGGUGAUAAGGAUUAUUAAAUCACGUCACAUAAAUUUAACAGCUUGCCACUAACUUCAUCUAACUAGAAACAUCGGUUAUGUGUAACUCGGACCUAGCAAUGGAAGUAUGUGAAUUUGAUACACUUUUCAAUUGUAGUCCGCGAAUGUAGGAAAAUUUCCGUGUGAUAAUUACAUUUGGUCACGUUGUGACCAUUUUGGUGAUGCGCGGAGGCCAGCUCUGGUCAGGUGUGCUUUAAGAUGUGCAGGGUCUCACACGUAAUGCAGGCUGGUUGAUUCUGGCAGUAAGAAUGAUUUGCGCUUGUUUCUUUAGUCUUGUGUAACGUUUGCACAAUUUGGUGUCGUUUCGACCUUUUGCUACGCUUCGUUUGCAAAGGUUCAUUCGACCUUGAGACCGGGUAGAAUCCAGCAUAUGCAAAAGUGGACACACAGAUCGUCUUCGUAGAAAAUAGAAAAAGGAGUCCACUUGACCUGAUUGACAUUAUUUCAUUUCUUCUAUACUCUAUGACUGCGCCCCGGUUUUGAAACUUUGGAACUUUGGAACUUGACACCCAUUUUUACUUAAAAGCAAUUACAUAUACAUAUAUGCAACUAGGGUUGCCGCGGGUAAUGGGUCGGGUACCCGUUACCCACAUACCCGCACUAUUCUUGCGGUAUCUGCGGGUCGGGUAGUGAGAACUACCCGCACGGGUAACGGGUAGUUCAGUUUUUAUUUAAUUAUCAACAAUGUUGAUAAUUUACCACAAAGUUACCCAAUUUACCUGUGUUGAUGUCGUUACCCACGGCAACGCUAGUAUUUUAACUGGUCCGUUCCCUAUUCUGAAGAACUACUUGGGUUACAUCAAUUCUUGACUGAACACGAUUUAACAAAUCAGCCAUAAAAUAGGUUUUACUCUUUAAAUUUGUUUGUAAAAAUUACUGUUAGUGUUUACAAUAUUACAUAUUAUUAGUAACUAGUAUUUAAAUAAUUUAGUCUAAACUAUACGUUGUUAUGUAUAUUUAUGCAUACAUACAUAUUUAACAUACUUUCGUGCUAAUAAUGUGCAUAUGCACACCGUCUUUGAAAUGAUUUGGUGAUUUUUAAUAUUGUCUUUUUGAAAUUAUUUAUG
This is a long non-coding RNA of Folsomia candida, 5059 nucleotides long. RefSeq lists it as uncharacterized. The transcript is spliced from 3 exons. The record is from RefSeq and is a predicted model, not a curated record. Lineage: Eukaryota; Metazoa; Arthropoda; Collembola; Entomobryomorpha; Isotomidae.